UCUGUCAACUGGAAUGCCAAAGCCUGCAACCUUGAGUACUCAACAUCAUGGAAGAUGAUGCACCGUGUUGGCUGGUCCCAGCUUGCAUGGAGUUCUUCAUUUACCAACAUCUUGCUAACAAUGCUAUGAAUCUGGGCAUCUGAGAGGUCAAACAUUUUGGUCAGCUGGUCCAGGCCUAGUGUAUCAUAGGAAGAACAGUAGGUAAAAAGGUAAGUCCUCAGAGCCUCUUCCUUGAUCUUAGCUUUCAGCAUUUCAAGCACGCUCUCUCGAUUCCUAAGAAGCUUCCAAACAUCAAGAGAAUUAAUAACGUCGAAGGCCUUCUGGAAAUCUCCCUUGCAGAGGGCCCGGGUUGCAGCCAUUACAUGGUCUCGGACAUUUUCCGGGGGACCUAUAAAUGGCUGCCUCUCACUCACCUCAAGCAACCGCCUGAAUGUCUUACUUAUCACCUUGCGUUUGGCAUCAAGUGAGUUGGCUGCCAUGUUAGGAACCUCAAGAAGCAUAGCACAUAUCAAAUGCACAGCCUCCAGAAGCUCAAGGUUUAUGUGCAUAUGGUAGGGCAUCUGACGCCUCCUUUCCAACCUUUCCUGAUAGAUCCAAAGUUUAAAAAGGGUAUAAGUCCUCAAAAAAUUGAUGAAUGUACAUAGCCAAUCCCUCUAUUAUAAGGAAUAGAUCAAAUUAGUCCCUUCACUGUUAAAUAGAUCAAUUUAAUCCCUGUACCAUUAAAAAGAAUCAAAUGAUACCAAUUUUCAACAAAGUUAAUAUUUUGAAAGCUUUUUAUUGUUCUACAAAUGAAAUCUUUUGUUUGAACUUAAACUGCAUAUGAAAAAAACAAUUUCAUGUCAUUUUUUAAAUGGUAAAUGCUAAUUUGGCCUUACUCGAUUCUUCUUAAUAGUAUAAUGAUUAAAUCUAUCCAUUUAAUAGUAAAAGAAACUAAUUUGAUCCAACACCUAUAAUAAAGGGACUCAGAAGGUAUGGUACUUUCACCUCAAAAAAUUAUAAAGUACCAUGUAAGUGCGCAUGUUAUCACGCUGUUCAGUUGUUUGCAAAUGAAGGGUAUGACUUGAACGCAUUUAAGUCAGAAUUUCACACAACAAGGGCUCACAGAUCAACAUGAACAUCCCACAAUUAUUCUUUACAAUUAUGCUAAUAGUUAGAUAUAUAGUAAUUAUUUCCAAAGCAAAAAGAACUGAUCAGUGGCAAACAUACUUCAAUAACUAGAUUUCCGAAUGAAUUCAUUGUCUUGUAAUUGUUGUUUAUCCUACUGCAUUCGUAUCAACUUCUUAAAAUAUUCAAAUGCCUAACAGAAACAUUGUGUCAAAAGAAAUAUCCUUUCAAUCCCAACAAAAACAAUACCAUCCAACCAACCAAUUAAAAACUAUUUACUAAAACUUCAAAUAAAAAAAAAAGCAUGCAAAAACCAUCAAAGGCAAACAGUAAAAGACAACAAAGCUGUACAGACUUAAGGAUUAUCAAUUAAAGCUAUUGUUAAUUUUGAUCUGUCAAGGAUUUAUAUUACGAUCGGUACCUGUUCCGGGGUUUUCUCAUGAUAUCGACUUUGUGAAACACCUUGUGCAAGCAAUUCCUUCACCCUCCCACCAGAAUACAGUUCAGAAAGGCAGCCAUGUCCUUCAGCAAUUAGUCCAACACGGAAGGCACAGAGGCCAACCUGAGCCAUUGCCCGGUUAAAAAGUAUCUGUGUUGAAACAUCCAUAUGCUGAAUAUUAUCCUGUAAAUGACUCAUCAGCAGCAAAUCACGAGCUAUUGAAAACUCAUCAAAAAGGGCAUGAUGAUAAAUAUCACAAAGCAUGGCACGGGCUUUGGUCCUCUCAUCUCCACUUUUGUAUAUGAGUGUCACUAGGAUAUCCAUCAAUGCUCUACUAUUCUCGGGGAAUGUGGGCUUCCGGGACACGAGCUCAGGACUAACAACAAACGCAGAUGUACCCCGUGUUUCCUCCACUUUAGUCUCAUCGCCAUCUGUUUCUCCAUCUUCCGAUAGCUCAGCCAAUUUCCUCAUAGCAUCAUAAACCUCUUGAGGCUUGUAAUAGACAAGUUCAACCCUCCUUAAAGCAACCUUAGCAGCAGACUUCAAAUCACCAAUACGCUCUAAAUACUCCUGGACAUUUUGAGCAAGGACCAAAAACAAAGGUUCAUCUCUCAGUCUCUCAACAUACUCACGAGUGUGUGGAUCAAUGCACUGCAAGCUCUUGAAGAACUCAUUAUCUAUUCUCUCAAGGAAGGCCACCAAAUUUCCCCAAACACGGAUUGUACCAUCAUAGUCUGCUCCCUUUUGGGUUUCAUUCUCAUCAGGCUCAACCAUAUCAUCGACCACAAUGUUCGGGUACUGAACAAGAAUGUCCAAUAUGACAAGCAUAUUCUGUACACAUUUCUUCCACACAUUUAUAGGCAUGUGUCCACUAAGACCUGGAUUAACAUCAAACUGUGCAGAGAUAACACUGAAAAGGAUCUCAAGCUUCUGAGCAGGAGUCUUGGCAACCUUUGUCAAGAAGGUAAGCUGCUCGACCUGUUCAAAUUUUCCAGUUCCCUUCCUUCCCCUAGCAGCCACAACCUCUUUAAACUUCUUGUUAACAGUAUCCCAGGUGAUCUCACUAGGAUCUUUCUUAAACUCCCUAUCCAUCAGUUUCUCUUUCUUGCUUAAUUUUUUCUCCCAGGCCCCAUCAGCAUCAUCAUCAUCCAUAUCUUCCCCCUCAUCAUCCUCAUCACUAGACUCAGCAGCAAUCUGUGAGGGGUCCUCCAACUCAGAGCCAGAGCCAGAUUCAUCUUCAUCCUCAUCUUCGUCCUCAUCUUCAAACUUCUCCUUUUCACUCUCAGGAUUCUCCCUAUACUUGUUAAUCAAUUCCUCAUACUGCUUAUUAUUCUUCUUGAGCUUCUGUUUCAUCGCGUUCAAAGCCUUGUGAUUACUGCUAUUCAUUUUCUUUUUGGCUUCCUUAUUAGCCAAAGCUUCAGCUAAGAAAUCUUCCAACAUAACAAGACACUUAAUAUAAAGAUUCGGAACUCUGUCGGACUCGGUGACACGCAUAACCUUCUCCAACUGUUUAUUAAUCUUAUCAAAACUCUCUUGCAAGCUAACCCAGUCAUUGAUUUUCAUUGCAUUCUUCAUCUGAUCAACCGUACUUGCCAUCUCCUCAAACCUCUUAUCUUUGGCGGAUCUAACCACCCUCUUUUGCCCAUCGGAAUCAUCACUAUCACUAGCAUUUGUUUGUAGAUAUCUGCUUCCCACGGCAGCAGCUGUGGUUUCUCCAGCUCCCCCAUUCUCAAUUUCAUCUUCAAUAUCAGUCUCCUCUUCCUCAGUGUCACUACCACCCUAUAGUAAAUUUAGAAAAAAAUUAUAUAUGUAUAACCUCCUCAAUACAAUAUUAGGUAAAGGCUAUAUAUUUUAAAUUCAUACGUCAAAAAAGAUAAAUUAAAAAACAAACAAACCUGAGUCCAGAAUUUAGAUGCCAUUGGCUUUCCCUUUCUCGAGUUCAAUUACUUCAAAGCUGUAAAAAGAAAAUAAUAUGAAUCAGGCAUUAAUACGGAAAGCUGGAUGAACAAAAUAUGAGCUUAAAAUUAGCAACAAUCAAAUUUCGAAUCUAUAAUUCCGUACUGCGAUUCAGGAAGGUAUUCAAUUUUUUUAAAAAAAAGAAGCACACCAGAGAAACAAAGUUACCUGAUCUGAGGCUAGGCGUAUUCAAAAGUAUAAAACAUAUAAAAAAAUAACCUUGUGAUUUGCCAGGUAACUAAACACACACACACACACACACUAGAUUUUCUGUCUUAAAUUUGUUCUGUCAUGUCCUUCUUAUACGUAAAAUUCUUUAAAGCUGAUACAAAGAACAAAAAAAAGCUAUGUCUCUACUAAAUACUUCCCCGUGAUUAGGGGCAAAACUAAAAAUUUUGUGAAAGGUUUUCGAUAAAAUUAAAAGAAUUUUGGAAUAAACCCAAUCCUAAACUAAUCCCCAACACUGUCCAUUUAUCAAUAAACAAGGAAACUAAUUACACCUUGAAAAACCGAGAACCCAGAAAGAACCUGAAGGCAAAAGGGGGUCCAGCAAUGAUGAGCGACGACAACGAAGAACCCAGAAGAGUGCAAGCUGCUUGAGCCUUGAAAUAUUGGACGAUGGUGAGUGAAGUGACACGACGGUGAAGGUGCGUCACUGCGUUGGGUUACGGUAGUCGGGGGUGACUGGUGGCUGUCGGCACACGGUAGUAGGGAGAAUUCAGAGGAAGCUAGAUAUUUAGGGAGAUAGAAUAUUAGGUUACUGAUUAGGGAUUUUUGUGUUAUUUUUUUGUUUUAGGAUAUGGAUUUUCGGGUUGGGUUAAGGUCAUUGAGUUAGGAUUAGUGGUUAUGGAUUUUUAAUAUUGGAAUGGGUUUAUUGGGUGGGCCGGCGUUUGGGGCUUGGGUGGGCAGUGGACUAAUUAGCAAAGUCCUAUACAUGUAAUAUAUAAUAUUUAUUUUUUGAAAUUCAGUUAAUUUGGUUAGUUAUCUAAUUUUGAGUUGAUUUAAUCAAUAAUUAAAUUUGAAAAAAAUUAUUAACCGAUCUUUGAUCGAAUUAAAUCGAUUAACCAAUCGAUUAAUUGAAUUAAUCGAUUAUUUGAUUUUAAUCAAAAUUUGAACACUCCUAUUUAAGGCGUGAAUUCUCAACCGUCAACUAGGUUUAUUAAUCGAUUAUUUGAAUUAAUCGAUUAUUUGAUUUUAAUCAAAAUUUGAACACUCCUAUUUAAGGCGUGAAUUCUCAACCGUCAACUAGGUUUUUUUUAUGUUAGCAGCACAUCAAUAUUCUAUAUAUAUAGGGUGAGAUUCUGAAACUUUUUUUUUUUUGCAUAUCUAUGCUAGCAUGUGGGGUUUUUUUUUUUUUUAAAUGUAGCAUGAGGUUUUUUUACAAGCAUACAAUCCUAUCCUCUAUGUUAUUAAAUUAAUUAAAAGAAAAAAUUUGUAACACCCCUACCAGUAUCCAUUGCCGGAAUAGGGUACGAGGCCUUACCGUAGUUUAUUGAACAUUUUCAGAUAAUUCUGAGUCAUUUAUUAUUCAUAUUUUGAAAAUAAUCAUAACAUCUCUCUAUUGGGCCCUCGAAACCCCAAACAUACAUUAGAAACCAAUCGGAAUUAAAUCGGGAACAUAGAAUUUUUUUAUUUUUUUCCAAAAUCUUAAAUUAUAUUUUCAUCUAAGUACUUACCAUUUCAAUGCUCCUUAUAAUUAAAUGUGUUACCAUUCAAUCAAUAGCUUGGCACUUGUCUAAGCGUCAAACAACAUCAUUGUUAGUAUUCUUGCACAUAUUUCAUAUAAAUUCAACAUUGAUAUACCUAUUUUCUCGUCAUAUCACCCUUGAGUUUAAUAAUUGUCUUUACUUACAUAAUUUCCUCGUAUCAACAUAUCAAAGAUAAUCAUAUAUGUACAUGUCAUGAAACAUAUCAUUCUCUUACUGUUUCUUCAUAAGUAUAUAUCAUUUAUUUCAUUAUAGUCAAUAUUUCAUGCUCCAUCAUUUUCAUAUAUUUUAUGUAUAUUUAUUCUGGUAAUAGCUUAUAUCAAACUUAACAUAAAUUAUAUUCCAUGUACUUAUACUUAUUUCGUUUAUCUAUCUUCAUAAUUAUUUCAUACAACUAUUUUGUACAUAUAUUUCCAUAUGACCAGUUCUUGCAAAUAUUUCACACAACCAUUUCAUAUAACCAUUCGUCAUCUGAUACAUAUUACCUGAAUAUCAAUUGUUCGACAGAUGUCAUAGCGUCUCCCAUCCAUGGUCUUAUUUAUCUUUGACAUGAUGCCAUAGUGUCUUUCAACUAUGGUCUUACUCAUUUUCUGUCAUGUUGCCAUGGUAUCUUUCAACCAUGUCAUGUUGCCAUGGUAUCUUUCAACCAUGGUCUUAUUCAUUUUAUGUCACGCUGCCAUGGUAUCUUUCAACCAUGGUCUUAUUCAUUUUCCGUCAUGUUGCCAUGGUAUCUUUCAACCAUGGUCUUACACAUUUCAUUUCAGAGAGCACAUUUCCGCGAACCUCAUCCUUACAGCGGGAUUACCAGUCCAGGCUAAAUCCCCUGUAAUAUAAACUCAUAGAGUAUUGUCGGGAUUACCAGUCCAGGCUAAAUCCCCUGCAACGACAAUUACUCUAAUGAGCUUGGAUCUGAAUUACCAGUCCAAGCUAAAUUCAGACCCUAAUUUAGAUUACCCGUCCGGGCUAAAUCCAUUUUACACGUAUUUUUCGGGAGGGCUAUAUCAAGAUAGGAUCACCCGUCCGAGCUAGAUCCUUUUUACCGUCAAUUCCUUUUCCAAUGACCCAUCGAAUUCCAUUCCAUUCAACCGGGAUUUAUUUUCAAUUUAUAUCGAGUAUUAUCAAUAUUUCAUCAAUUAUCAUGAAUGAACAUUCAAAUCAUAUUUUCAUCACAUAACUACAUAUUUCAAGUAUUUAAAAAUACAACUCAAGUUACACAAACUUAUCUCAUUGCUUGUUUGUGUUUAUAAUUUCAUUAAUCCGAUAUCUUUUCUUUUCCACGAUCAAGUCUCGUAUUUGAGUUGUCUGGAUCUUUAUAAAUAAAUUUGAUCAUUAUUUUCAUUCAUUUCAUAUUCUAACGCAUUUAAUUAAUGCUCUAGGUAAAAUUACCAUUUUGCCUCUAAACUUUUAAUUAAUGACGAUUCCAUCUUUAGGGUCAGGAAAAUAAAAUUCUUACAAUUUAAUCCUUAUUUCCAGCUAUUAUUCUCAUACAUAUUGAUAACAGUCCAUAAAUUCUAUAAAAUAUCAUAAUUUUCCAUAAUUUUAACAUUUUUCAAUUUAAUCCCUAAAACAUGUUUUCCCCCGAUCUUGAACUAAAUUAAUAAUUUCAUUCAAUUUUGUAAUUUAAAUAAUAAAAUAGUCCAUUUCAUGCAAUUUGAUCUUUUUUGACAUUUUUACAAAAUUGCCCAUAAAGUUUUACUUUUAUUCAAUUUAGUCCCUGAGCCUAAAAUAUGAAAAUUAGCCAUGCUAGAUGAAUAUUCAUACAUAUUUUUCCUCCUCCUCCUCUCCAUUCCACAUCCUUAAUUUAUAUAACAUGCUACAAGUAACAUUAUCAAUAAUUUCACUAUUUACUUAUGUGUAUAUUCAAAACUGUCCAUUUGCAUCAUAGUCACUAAAUUAUUUAUAUCUUGAGCUAUAGAACUUGAAAUUAAGAUCCAAUAAUUUUAUAUGAAACUAGACUCACAUAUAUUCUUGUCAUAAAAUUUUCAUAAUUUUUUAUUAAGCAAAUAAGUACAGUUUAUUCUUUAAAGUCACCCAUGUUCUGCUGUUUGACAGUUUUGACACUUCUUCACUAAAAAUUAAUUAUCUCCUCGUACAGGAUUCAAAUGAUGUUCUAGUUUAUUUCUAUUGAAAAUAGACUCAUUCAUAAUUCUAAUAAUAUAAAUUAAAUUUCAUAAUUAUUUUUAUCCAAUUUUUGAUGAUUUUCCAAAGUCAGAACAGGGGAACCCGAAUUCACUCUGACCUUGUCUCACAAAAUUUAUUAUUUCUCAUAAUUCACAAUUCCAUUUCUUACACCGUUUCUUUUAUAAGAAACUAGAAUCAAUAAUAUUUAAUUCCAUAUUUUUUUCAUCCUCAAAUUAGAUUCCAAAAAUUUAUGGUGAUUUUUCAAAGUUAGCCUACUGCUGCUGUCCAAAACUGUUUUAGUGCAAGAUAUUAAUUACCAUGUUUAUAACACCCUUAUUUUCUUUCUCUAUACUAUUUUUAUCACUUUCUCUUAUUUUCUCUUCACUAACAUAUCAAGAAUAUAGGAUCAUAUGUAAGGAAACUCUACAUUAACAUCAAUCCCAUGCUUUUUCAAUAAUAUCAAACUUAAAAAUAUAUUGAAAUCAUGAUGUUCUUACCUUGUUAUAUUGAUUUCAAUCUUCAUCUUGAUUUUCUCUCUCAUUCAGCUUCCAUUUCUUGAAUCCAACUUGAUAUUUUAACUUUCCAUAGCCUCCUUAACAUUUUUCUCUCUUGGUAGCUAUGGAAAUUCUUUUGAUUUUUGGGUGAAAAUGAUGAAUUUUUGGUAAAAGGACCAAAUUGUAAAGAAAAGAAAGUUUCUUUCUUCCUUUUCUCUUCUUACGUUGGGUGAAUGGGAAAAAGAUGAUGAUUCUUUAUCUUUCUUUCCUUAUAUAUACUAAAUAAAAUAAUAAAAUAUCAUUUAAAAAUUAAAUUAAAAUAUUAAUAAACUAAUAUUUAUUUAUUUAUUUAAUCUAAAAUAUCUCCAACAUCAUCAUUGCUUUUUAGAUUUCUCUCUCUUCCAAUUGACCAUUUUGCCCUUUAUUAUCUUUUCAAAUUCCAUCCUUGAGUCAUCAUUUAAUUUGGUAAAAUUGUAAUUUAGUCCCUCAUAGUUCUUCACCUAUUCAAUUUGGUCCUAAUUCAUCCAUUUCCUUAGUUUCUAUAUCAUUCCACUCUUAAAAUAUUUACACUAUUGGUCCUUCAACCUUUUCAUAUUUACACUUUAACCCCUAAAAUUUUGAGUAUUUACUCUUGUGCAACAAAACUUUUCUCACUUUUACAAUUUAGUCCUUUCUUGAAUUAAUAUAUCAUAAUAUACUUCUCAAUUUUGACAUAACUCAAAAUUUACCUUUUUGUCACUUUAUUUCUUUAUUUUACUAUAUCAAAGAUAAUAUCUUACUAUAAAUUUUCGGGGUAUUACAAUAUUUGAUACAACUUUUUGGAUUCUAUAAAUUUUUUAUAAAAGUGUUGUAUAGUAAAAUAUUAAAAAAAUACAUAUUAAAAAAACCAAGUCAAUUUUUUUAAAUUGUUUGUAGAAUAAAAAAAUACAUUAUUAAUAUAUCAAAUAUAUACUCGUUAAUUAAAAAAUUAAAAAAAAAGUUAUUAAAUCGAUAUUAGAAAAAUAUGAAUAGCUAUGGUUCUCGAUCCACAUUUUAGAUUGGCGUAAAUAUUUAUUUAUAUCGAAGUACAAAGUAAAAUUUUGAAUAUUAAAAUAUGCUCUAAGUCCUUGUUCUUUGAAAUUUAAUUUUUCAUUUUUAUUUUUAAGAUUUUAAUCCUUUUAUUUUUGGAUCUAAAAUUCAGGUAUAAUUGUUACUCUUCAUUAAAUUUCUUCUAUUAAAUUUUUUUGUAUAACAUUUUGAAAAUUUAAAUAUAUACAUAAAUAUAUAUAAUUUUGGAUGCCAUGUCACAAUAAAAAUGACACCAAAAAUAUUAAUCAUGAUUUUUUUUUCAAAACAUAAAUUCGAACUUGUUAUAAUAAAUUAAUUUCUUUAUGUUGGAAUAGUGUUUUUAAGAAAAAUUGACAUCAAUUUUUUGAUUGAAAUAGUUAACAAUAAUAAUUAUUUAGUCUAACUAAUAACAUUACAGAAAUAAACAGACCAAAUUAUGUUAAAAAUUAAAAUAUAUAGAUUAAAUUUCAAGUUUCAGCAUAGUCUACGAGUCAAAUUUGAAAUUUGAUUAUUUUCUUAUAAUGUAAAAAAACCAAAACUUAAAAUACAUGUGAAGUCAUGUGUUCGUCUCUACGAGUCUUAAAAUAUUCAAAUUAUUUAUAACCACGUAAUAUUUUAAUUAAAAAAUUGACAAUAUUAAUUAUUUGAACUAAUAAUAGCAUUAUAAAAAAAAUAUAAAUCAUGUUAAAAAUUAAAUCUCAAUUUUAAGCAAAAUAAAAGAAUCAAAACUAAAAUUUAACUAAUUUUCUAAAAUGAAGAGAGAAAAAGAAAGUGUGGGUGUCCACGUGUGUAACACCCCUAACCCUUAUCCGUCUCCGGAACAGGGUUACGGAGCCUUACCAAAUUUUUCAGAUCAAAUACAAACAUUUUAUAAUCAUCUAACAUACACAUCAUAACUUAAUCAUAUUGUCCCUCUUUUGAGCCAUCAAUGCCCAAAAUAUGUGUUAGAAACAAAUCGGGACUAAAUAGGGUACUCCAAAAUAGGUGCAGGGGACACACGCCCGUGAGGCCAAGGGACACGCCCGUGUGGCCAUUAGACAUGCCUGUGCCUUAGGCCGUGUCUGACCCGGUGUAACUAUCUGACUUAGGUCACACAGCUAGCCACACGCCCGUAUGCUAGGCCAUGUGGUCAAUUUAUUUUUCGAAAAUUUGGUGCAGGUUUCACACGGCCAGGGCACAUGCCCGUGUGCUAGGCCGUGUAUCUCACACGGCUGAGACACAUGCUCGUGUCUCUGUCUGUGUGAAAAUACUUGAACAUUCUGUUUUGAAAAUUUUAAGUUGUAGAAGACACACGGCCAAAUCACAGGCCUAUGUGUUAGCCGUGUGUCUCACACGGUCCAGUCACACGCCCGUAUGUCUGGCCAUGUAUAUUUAAAAUGAACCUUAAACAUCAAAUUUAUCUUUCCCUACAACCUUGAACAUCAAGCAACUCAAAAACCAAUUGUUCAAACACUUAAAAACACGAUCAGAUACCUUUAAAACAUAUCUAAAUAAUCAACCUAAUGACCUAACCAAUGUACCCUCAUAGAUACUUCACAUAUAUUAUCAAAACAAUCCAAUAAAACUUCAUUCAAGCCAAUUCUAAAAUCAUGCCGACUUCAACCCAAAUUUUCCUAUAACAUACUUAUGCAUCAACCUAAAAAUUUCAUAUUAAACCUCAAUAUAACACAUAUUUAUGUAUAUAGGUAAUCAAUAUCAUCUUAUAACAUCAUUUACAUUCACUUCCUAAAAUGACAAGUAUAAGACAUCCUAGAUACAUGCCGACACAAAAACAAACAUACGUCAUCACGUUUUGAGUUCGGGAUCGUUGUGGAUGCUGAAUCGAUGAUCAACUUUAAGUACCUAACCUGCGCACAGAAAACAAACCGUACGUUGAGUAUGAAAUCAGUGGUAUUUCUAUAAUCCAAAUAAUUUAAAAGUAAGAAGUUACAAUAUUUAUACAUUUAAUCUCACCAUAACAAAGAUCAUUCAAAUAAUCAAUUUCAUAAAUACAUCAUUCAUGACAUUUCCAAUUCUCAUCACUUGCUAUUUCAAAUAGCUUUUCUCAAUAUGAUACACAAUUCAUUUUCAUUUUGCAUUCAAUGUUUUUCAAUACCAAUCAUAGCAUCUUUUCCAUUAUUUUUCCCUAUUAAUAUGACUCGGACUCUGACGGAUAAACGGAUCCAACCAAAACACACCAAUUUGGCACCUAGUGCCUCAUCGGAUAAUUUGAAGAAAUAAGUUGACACUCAGUGUCUCAUCGGCUAUGCCGAAGUAAAUUGGUACCCAGUACCUCAUCGAAUUUAUCCGAAGUAAUAAUUUGACACUCAGUGUCUCAUCGACUCGAAGUAUCCCUGAACUCUUCCAAUCCUAUGGCAUGCCAUCUAUAUCUGACUCAGCCCUUGAUAGUUAAAAGGGUUUCAAUUUCACUUUACAAAUACCACAAUCAUCCAAUAUUCAAAUAUCACAAAUUCACAUACUUUCAAUUCAAUAUCAUAAUGCUAAUUACUCACCUUAGUCACUUACCACAAUCAUUAAAUAAAAAAUACAACAAUUAAUAAUGAGAUUCGGAUUAUAGAAAUACAAACCAGAAUUUCUGAGCUACUUCUCGAUGACUUUAUCUUUUUCUUUCUUAGUCGAGGUUUCCGGCACAACGUUAGCUACGAAAUCGAAACAAUUGAAAUUUCAUCAAUACAAUACAAUUUCACAAUGAAUAUUUCAAUUGUUAUUCAAUUUUUGCCUAAAUUCCAAUUUAGUCAUUAAACCGAGACUAACUCUAUUUCUUCACAACUAAUUCCAUAUUUUCAUUCAAUUUCCAUUUUAGACUAAAUUCAACUCUCUAAUUUCACUUAAAUCCCUAAAUUCUAAAUUUUUAUUAAUUUAAUCCCUAUUACUCAAAACUUAUAAAUUAUUUUACAAUUCAUCCCUUUUUCAUUUCUAACUUAAAAUUCUAUCAAUUUGGUCUCAAAUACUCAAAUUAUUCAACAUGAACAACAUCUACAAAUUCAAUAUUUUUUAAAAUUUCAACAUAAGUUAAGUAAUAUUUAAUACUAGGAUUUUAAAAACAUAAAAAUUACAAGAAAAGGGACUAAAUUGAUUUACCAAUUAAACUUUAAACUUGAAACCCUAAUUUUUCUGUUUAUUUUCUUUCUCUUUUUCUUUCUGUUUCGUUUCUUGCUUUGUUUCUUUAUUUCUUUUUCUAUUCUUUUUUUUUACUUUAUAUUUUAAUCAUAAUAAUAUAAUAAUGUAAUGAUAUAAUAAUAUUUACUUAAAUAAUAAGUAAAUAUAUAAUAUAAUUUAAUAUAUGAAUUUUAUUUUAACACAUGUUUUCAUCUACACAUCAACUUGUCAAUUAAGGUUUAAUUGCUUAUUUAGUCCUUUUACUUUUUCUUUAAUCUAUAAUUAAACUUUCAUCUUUUAUUCAAUUUAAUCAUUAUACCUAAUUACUCUUAAUUUAAAUAAAUUCACCUAAUCAAAACAUAAUUAACCACACAACUAAUUUCGUAAAUAUUUAUUAAAAAUAUUUACGAAUCCGUUUUACGAAAAAAGAGACCCGAAAACACACUUUUCGACUAUCCGUGACUAUAGGGUCGUUACACCCUAUACCUGAUCUAGUCAUCUGACCCGAACUAUAAGGUAAUACAAUUGUAAAACUUUAACAUUAUUCACUAUUCAUUCAAUUUAAAUCAUUCAUUCCAUAAUUAUAUUACAUUCAUUUUCAUGUUAUUUGAUCAUAUCUAAGCCUAAAUCGAGCAUAUGAAGCCUUUAAAACAAAUUGGGAACAAUUCUGGACUAAAUUAAAACUUUUACAAAAAUUUAGGUAAAUAGUGAAAAUAAGGAUCACAUAAUCGUGUGGCCAGGCCGUGUGACAGAGCUCAGCCCGUGUGGCUCAAAAACAUAGUUGUGUGGCCAAAUCGUGUAACUAUCUGUGCCUAUGUAAUUCGGGUCACACGGCUGUGUCGCUAGGUCGUGUAACUCUCUAUGACCAUGUGGACAAACCUACACCAAAAAUUAAAGAGGCCACAUGACCGUGUCAUGCAACUGUGUGGGACAUACAGCCGUGUGGGACACACAGCCAUGUGGCAGAUCGUGUAUGUCCAAAAUACCUUCAAACAAAAGCUAAUUCACCUAAAAGUGACUAAAUGAUCCAUACUUAAUAAGCACUAUAAGUUUAAACACAAUGUACACAAAAGAUAUAUCUAAGUCAUGCUCAUCAAAUAACAUACACACUAAAUUUCAUACAUAAAAGCCCUAUACAUGUCAUUUAUAACCAUAGCCAAAAUAACUCAAAAUCUACUAAAAUGAUUGUUGGAUAAUGUGAUAGGUCUCCGAUAAGAUUCCAACCAAUCAAGCUUUCGAUGAUCUACAAAACAAGAAAAACAAAUACAUAAGCACCAAUCCUUAAUAAGUUCGUUUAAGAGAACUCAACCUUACCAAAACAUGAUUUCAUGAUUAACCAUUCAAGCAUUUUAAUCCCUAAAUGCACAAUUCUUCAUAUUCACACCACAACACAAGUUAGUAACUAAAUACAUAAUCAAUUCAAAGUUUCAUACAAACCUUUACUAAAUGGUUCUUACCAUCAAUCCCUUUCAAUAAACCUUUCCAUUUGUUAACCCUUUUAGGGUGACAACCUUUUUCAACCUUUUCAUUGGAUAUCCAUUUCGGAUAUAUCCUUUUCAACCAUUUCAUUUGAUAUCUAUUUCAGAUAUACCCUUUUCAACCUUGUAACACCCAAACCUGGCCUAGACGUAAUGGUCGAAUCUGGCAGUGUCACAUGGAAUGGAAUUUUGAAGUUGAAAUACCAAGCCAAAACCGUUUUUGUUGAAUAUCUUUUGUUUUAUCUCUCAUCCAAUUCAAAAUCAUUUUCUCGUUAAUUUAAUUCGUUCAAAAUCAAUUUUGUAGCGGAAGCUUUUAAAAUCGUGACAUUUGAGGAAAACUAAUCGCGUUUAGUAAAAUUGUCAUUUUUAAUAAAAUUGAGUUUGGGUUGAGUUUGUAGUUUACAAAUUUGAUAUAAAAACAAACAGUCCAAAAGUCCAAUUUACAUAAAAAUAUCCCAGAAAAUAAUUAAUUAAAUAAAUACCAUAACUAAAAUUAAAACAGUUUAAAAUACGUAUGGCCACCGUCGAGUCCACCGUUGCACCAAUCCGUCAAGUCUGGGGAUUACCUGUACACGUUAAAUAGAAGGGGGUGAGUUUACGUAAACUCAGUGUGUAAUCCCCACAGAAAACAUGCAUACAGUCACUUAGCAGUAAAUAGUCAAAUGUAAUCUAGGCCUAAGCCCAUUACAGUCCCAGUAGUAGUUUGGGCCAUAGCGCAACUCAGUUUCGGUAUUCAGUAUCAGUUAUGCACUAGGGCCAUAGCUCAUCAUAGUAACAGUCAUGCAUACAGUAAUCAGUAACAAAGUCCUACCCAACCAGCCUCUACACACCAUCUCCGUCCAACCAUACACUCCAUGUAGGGAUUAAAUCAACCCACCCAUCCCUACACUCUAGAUAGUACAGAAUGCGGCACAUAAACAGUAAUUUGCAGUUGAGCUGCUAGAUAUUAGGCUUAAAGCCUUUAAGUACACUUCCUCCAAAUAUCAUCAUCCCAACCCAAUGCAAUGCAAACAUAUAAUAUAUUAUGCUCUUAUGCAACCAUCAAUCAUACUAAUACAUACAUGUAUUAGUAAUCAUGCAUAAUAUAUCAUGCAUCACAUACACUCAGAUCAUACAUUUAGGGGUCUAGUUAACGAUUACUGACCCUACAGUAGGUUCACAGUUGACUUGGGUGACCCGUGCAACCCUAGGAAUCAUUUCAGAUAAAUGGGCUUACACGCUCAUGUGGCUUGCCUGUGUAGCCCACACGGUUCAAAUUUGCCUUGGCCGUAUGGAUCACACGGCCUGGCCUAGAAUGCCACACGCCAGUGUAGACUACCUGGGCACGGCUUGGCCUCGUUGAAUACACGCCCGUGUUAGGGCACACAACCUACCAUAUGGGCGACCACACGCCCGUGUGGCAUCGAUAGUGAGGUUUUCGGCUUCCAUCGAAACCUCGUUUUCUAUGUAAUCAAGUACACACUUGGUUUGUUUUUUAUGUUGAAACUCUCUCUAGGCCCGAAAACCUAUCAAAAAACAUUCAGAACUGAUUUAGCAGUCUAUUUUACAAAGUUUCAACAAUCCUUAACGAUAUUAACUAGACCUACUGCCAAAGAAGACCUUCUGUAAACACCGUUAAAACGAGAACCACGAAAUUUACUAACUCAAACUUCCUCCUACACUAUUAAUCCAUAGAUGAAAAUGCCACUAUUCAUUCGUCAAGAGAUUCUUAAUAGAAAAGAAGAGGGUAACUUACCAACAACACCUGUAAGACGCGAAGACGACGUGAUAAACAAAAUGGGAAAAAAAAUUGAGAUAGGUAAAAUCACAAGGGAAAAUCGUUAGGGAAGGGGGAAAUUUUUUGGCAGAACACGACAAGAAAAGGAAUGAAGAGGAAAACUGGCAGAGAUUUUUGGCAGGAGAGAAGAAAAUAAUUGGAUAACUCCCAAAUCCCCUAUUUUGCUUCCACUAGACUACAUUCAUCUCAACCACUUCAGUAUUUCGGCAAAACCAAACUCUUUCAGUCUACAGAGCAAAAUAAACUCUCUUGCUCGCGCAGGGAUUUGAACACAGAACCUUCAACCAUCUAACACUCUACUUAACCACCAGACCAGUAGGUCCAUUCUAAUGUGUUUUUACAAGCAAUUACUUAAAAGCCUACUAACCAGAGAUAAAGCUUUAAUUUAGAAGAAAAUAAAUUUUUUCCAAAGACUUGACUUGAAUUUGGGACUUCACACACACACCUAGAACAUAUAACCACUGAAGCAGACACCCUAUUAUGUCAAAAUUCACAAAAGUUGAAAUUAAAAAUUUGAGGCAUUACAACCCUUUUCAAGAAUUCGAAAAUACCAAAUGUAGUGCCAUGGUGUCUUUUAAUAUUAUUUUAAUAUUAUUUUUCAUACUUUUUAUAUGUGAAUUGAUAUGUGUGGAAGUCUCGUAUGAAAAUUCGAAUGUUUGUGUGCUUAAUUUUGAAAAAGGACCUAAUCACGUAAAAUGUAAAAGUUGCAUGUUAUAUGUUAAAAGUGCCUAUUUGAUUUGGCUUAUUAUUUGAGAGGUCCUUAUAUGGUUAGUAUGCCAUUUAUAUGGUUAAUGGACAUUUAUGACCUUGAUAUUCAUGUUUUAAUAGUUUUAUAACAAAGGGUAAAAUGAGAAUUUAGUUAAUAUGAUAAUUAUAAUAAAACAAAAGCUUAAAAUUUGGUUCAUUUUCACUCUUCCUUGAUUGAAAGUACAAGAAAAAGGAAAAUAAAAAUAACACUAGGGUUUCAACACUUAAAGGUUGAAAUUAAGGUGUGACACCCCUAUCCCGUAACCGUUGUCGGAAUAGGAAAGGGGUAUUACCAGACUUGUAACUCAUGUCAGAAUAGUAAUUUUUUUUUACUUUUUUUUUCUUGAAACAAAGAUCAUUCAUUUAGAUAAAUGCUAAAUACAGCCAGGGAUAAAAUUAAACUUCUAUAAGUACACAUUCAAAAGAUGCCAUUUUUGCAUGGCUUAUAUACAUUAACCAGAAUAUUAUUCCGCUACUAGUUUAUUCUAUACAUGCCAUAAAAUAAUCCAAAACAUAGCAGUACCAAACAGUGGAUAGUGAUAGUGUGACAAGCUAUUGACGAUCCCCGAGCAAAGGCCAAAUUUGAUAAUCUAUAAAACAGAGAAACGUAACAACAGAGUAAGCUUUCAAGGCUUAGUAAGUCUUAAGUAAAACAAUUAACUUUGCUGGAUUAAAUACAUUUAUAACUUACACAAAAUCAGAGUAAAGUCUCGAUGGGCUUAAUAAGCCUACACAAGUACAUAAUACAUACCUGGCCAACUUAAUGUGCUGAUCAUCCGUAAUUGUUGAUUUAUUACUAAGUCGCUUAUGAUUAGGCCUUACACAAAUCACGUUUUGAAAUGUCAAGAUAUAUCACCAUUCGGUCAAAUAGAUUAAACCCUAUGUAUGCACAUGUAAUUCAUCUAUUUCAUCCAAAUUUAAGAGUAUAUACCCCUUCGCAUUUAAAAAAAUCAAUGCUACUUUUAGUUUAAUCAGUCGAACUAAAACAUACUAUAAUCACAUUCGGUUUCCAUAUUUGGAAGCACAUAUUCAUGUUUUCAUCUUACAUAAACAAUUUGAUAGAGUCAAUACUCGUUGAAUAUAACUUAUAACCAUCUCAUAAGUGAUUCCCCAAGUACAUUUGUAAUACAAACAAAAUCGAGUUCACAUAGCAAGUAAGUAUCACUUACCAUAUACUUAACCUUUGUACACUUACCGUUUCCAUAGUUACCAAUUACCAAUUCAAUCUUUCAAUACCUCUAACCACUUAAUCAUAUGCACUCAUUUCGUGCACAUACAUAAUUGUAUAUAUGUAUUUAGGAGCUUAUUUCUUUAGUUCAUAUUCACAUUAAUAUUUCAAAUAAUAAAAUCAUGACAAGUAUUAAAGUUUCGUAUACGUAUAUAAAGGACCAAACAUAUUCCUUACACAUAUACAUAAAUGACCAACGCAAUCCAUACUUUGUAUUUGCACAUCCUGCCGAAUACAACUCAAAUUAGAAAAUUUUUAUGAAACUAAUUAAAUCCUUAUCUUAAAGAUAUACAAAUGGUCUUCGGUUUGAAAUAAUUCAAGGCACUUAGCCAUAGCCUGCUAGGUUUUAAAAAAAAUCCGAAUCUAGUUACCAAUACCAAGCCUGCGGGACUUUAAGCCCGGAUAUAUCAUCAUAGUUAAUUCACAAAUUUGUAUACACAUCAAUUCACAUACCUUCGAUUUUUCCAACACGGAAACACAUUAAUAAGGUAUCACUUCAUUCGAACUUAUUCGUAUCUCAAUAUAGCUAGUCUCAUUUCACAAGAGCCAUUAGGCCACAUCACGCAGUCAACGAGUCUUAACCCGGAUACUUUCCAAAUUCCAUGUAUAUUUAAUCACAUGUUACCAUAUUUCACACAAACUAUCACCAUUGUAAUUCAUUAACCUCAUUCGAAUAUAAGCGUAUAGCAUGUACCUUAACUUCAUGUCAUAAUAACAUUUGACUUUAACACAUAUUUAUAUAUACAUAUAUAUAUCCCUUUUAAUAAACUUCCAACUAAAUAAGAAAAUACACACAUGACUUACAUUCUUCUCAUGACAACCAUUCGACUAAACAACAUAUAAGUCACCACACCUUCAAUUUAUAAAACUAUCAACACAUAUUACAUAUACAUUGCUUACGUUUAUAAAAUAGCCAUUCGGAUAACUUGCACACAUUUAUAUUUUAGCCAUUUUGGCCUCACCACCUAUAUAUUUAUCUUGUAUAUCAAUUCAACAAUUGUAACACCCCAAACUCGGCCUGGAAGUUUGGCUCGAACUUGGCGUGUCACAUUGAAGUGUUUUUCAAAAACCACGUUUCCAUUAAAAACCCUUCUUAAUAAUUAAAAACUUAUACCCUUUUUAAACCUUGUUAGAAAACCUCGGCUGAAUAACAUUCUUAACAACUUUGUAAAAAUCUUGGUAGUUGCAGAAACUUACUUUAAAAACAAUUGCGGUUACGUGAUGUUUUGAAUAACAGUAGUUGCUUUGGAAAAUUGUGUUCGAAUACUAGCAAUUAUAAGAACAAUAAAUAAAAUUCCAAAUUUGAAAUCCAGAAAAUUACAACCCACAUAAAAUAAUUUAAAGGUAAUAAUCAAAACUGUAACAUAAACAGUGUGUAUGGCUUCCUCCGAGCCCCUAGCAACCCCGAUCCAUCAAAGGCUGGAAAUUACCUGAAAGGUUAAUAAACGGGGUGAGUUUACGAAAACUCAGUGUGAAAUCCCCUACUAUAAAAAGGAACAGUCAAUCAUCUAAAAGAAUUAAAAGUCUGGCCCCAGCCUUACUUACAAUUUCAGUACCAAUCGGGUCUGAACCCAUUACAACAGACAGUACCAGAUGGACCUUAGCCAAUUACAGAAUAAGAAACAUUAUCAGAAUUGGAACCAAAAUGAGAAUCAGAAUCAGAAUCAGUAACAGAAUCAGAAUCAGAAUCAAUAUUAGUAACAGAAUCAGAAUCAGAAUCAGAAUUAGGUGACAGAAUCAGAAUCAGAAUCAGUAACAGAAUCAGAAUCAAAAUCAGUAUUAGUAACAGAAUCAGAAUCAGAAUCAGAAUUACGUAACAGAAUCAGAAUCAGAAUGUGAAUGCAAUCCCAACCCAAUCCAGCCGUAUACACCCCCGUACAAACCUUACACCAUGUGGGGAGACAACUCGACCCACCCAUCCGCUACACACCACAAAAUUUGCAGCAUGGCUGCCAGAACAGAUAUCGUGACAGAGUCACCAGAUACAGAUAUUGUGGCAGAGCCACCAGAACAGAUAUUUGUGGCAUAGCCACCAGAACGCUUCCUCUGUACAAAAUCCCAACCCAUGCAACAUGUCAUGUAUGCAGAAUGUCAUGCCCAUAUUUGAAUCAAACAAUCACAGUCAAGUCAUUCAUAUCACCAACAUAUAUUCACAAUCAAAUCCGUCAAACACACAGUCCAAGUCAAUCACUUGCCCACAAGGGCAAAAUAGUCAUUUAACACCCUAGGGGCAAAAUAGUAAUUUUACCCCACAAGGGUAUCUCGGUAAUUCUACCCUACAGGGGUAUUUCGGUAUUUCUACCCUACAAGGGUAUUUUGAUAAUUCUACCCUACAAGGGUAUUUUGGUAAUUCUAUCCUAUAAGGGUAUUUCAGUAAUUCUACCCUAUAGGGGUAUUUCGAAAACUCUACCCUACAGGGGUAUUUCAGUAAUUUCACAAUCAAGGGUAAAAAGAUAAUUCUGUAAAUCGAGGGUAAAACGAUAAUUUUGUAAACUGAGGGUAAACCAGUAAUUCUAUAAAUCAAGGGUAAAACAGUAAUUUUACAAAUCGAUGGUAAAACGAUAAUUUUGUAAACUGAGGGUAAACCAGUAAUUCUGUAAAUUAAGGGUAAAACAUUAAUUUUACAAAUUGAGGGUAAAACAGUAAUUCUGUAAAUCGAGGGUAAAACAGUAAUUCUGUAAACUGAUGGUAAAACGGUAAUUCUAUAAAUCGAGGGUAAAAUGGUAAUUCUGUAAACUGAGGAUAAAAUGGUAAUUCUGUAAACUAAGGGUAAAACGGUAAUUCUGUAAAUCGAAGGUAAAAUGGUAAUUUUACAAAUCGAGGGUAAAACGGUAAUUCUAUAAAUCAAGGGUAAAACAGUAAUUCUAUAAACUGAGGGUAAAACGGUAAUUCUGUAAAUCGAGGGUAAAACGGUAAUUCUGUAAAUUGAGGGUAAAACGGUAAUUUUAUAAAUCGAGGGUAAAAUGGAAAUUCUAUAAAUCGAGGGUAAAACGGUAAUUUUACAAAUCGAGGGUAAAACAAUAAUUCUAUAAAUCGAGGGUAAAACAGUAAUUGGUAAACUAAAGUAUCUAAGCAUGGAUAACAAUACGAAUGGGCCUAAAACCUAUUCUCGACCCAAAUGGGCCCACACGCUCGUGUGGCCCUUGUAGCCCAAACCUAGCCACAGAUAUGAGAUUCACUUAGCCUAGUCCAAUAUUUACUACACAAUCAAACAACUUACCCAAUUGGGCCCGUAGGCCCAUUGGGCCCACAUGGCCUCUUUCGGCCCAUCGCGGCCCGAAGUAGCCAUCCAACAAUAAGAGUAGUGAUAAAUACACACCUGAUUAGAGACUGGAGUUAAUCCACGCUCCGAGCACUCUUAGCCAACGCCCAACCCAAACGAGCACGCCAUAAAGCGAAAGGGAUCAGCCAAGAAAGGUACCUUUACUCUCCUCAUGGUUCUCUUUAUUUAAGGCCAGCUUCCCAUCCACUCUUAUGUUAGCUUCCCGAUGUGGGAUCCCUCCAACAUCAGAGUUUAAAUUCAACACCAACUCUUACCGCCCCCUGUUAGCAAAAUAAAUGCUCUUUGCUUGCUAUGGGAUUCGAACCCAUGCCUCCCCUCAAAUGCUCCACACGCCACUUGCCACUAAGCCAUAAGGUUUUUUGUGUCACAAUUUCUCCAACAAUAUUCUUAAGGCCUACCUACUACACCCAGGGUUUGAUUCACCUUAAACCAAAUUUUUUGCUAGAGUCUAGGUUUAAACCCAGGACUUCUCCAACACUUCUCAACACACUUAACCACUAAAACAAGCCUUCAUUAACGAAAUUUGCAUGCACAACAGAAUAUUAUAAGCUGCCUUCAACCGCUCCCAUGCUCAAGGCCUAAAACUUCUAGGCCCAAAUUCAGGGUGUUACAACUCUACCUCCUUUAAAGAAAUUUCGUCCUCGAAAUUUCCAUCUAACAGGGUAGUCGUGUAACAUCUACCCCACUACGCUACCGCUGCGCACUCUGAUCCUACUAUCACUAUCACACUUCAACUAGAACUUGAAACAUCUCAUACAUACAACACUUAUUCACUGAAGUAGACACAUAUUAACAGUCAGUCAUCUAAAAGAAUUAAAAGUCUGGCCCCAGCCUUACUUACAAUUUCAGUACCAAUCGGGUCUUAACCCAUUACAACAAAGAGUACCAGAUGGACCUUAGCCCAUUACAGAAUAAGAAACAUUAUCAGAAUUGGAACCAAAAUGAGAAUCAGAAUCAGAAUCAGUAACAGAAUCAGAAUCAGAAUCAAUAUUAGUAACAGAAUCAGAAUCAGAAUCAGAAUUAGGUGACAGAAUCAGAAUCAGAAUCAAUAACAGAAUCAGAAUCAGAAUCUGUAUUAGUAACAGAAUCAGAAUCAGAAUCAGAAUCAGAAUCAGAAUUACGUGACAGAAUCAGAAUCAGAAUGUGAAUGCAAUCCUAACCCAAUCCAGCCGUAUACACCCCCGUACACACCUUACACCAUGUGGGGAGACAACUCGACCCACCCAUCCGCUACACACCACAGAAUUUGGAGCAUGGCUGCCAGAAUAGAUAUCGUGAUAGUCACCAGAUACAGAUAUUGUGGCAGAGCCACCAGAACAGAUAUUUGUGGCAUAGCCACCAGAACGCUUCCUCCGUACAAAAUCCCAACCCAUGCAACAUGUCAUGUAUGCAGAAUGUCAUGCCCAUAUUUAAAUCAAACAAUCAAAGUCAAGUCAUUCAUAUCACCAACAUAAAUUCACAAUCAAAUCCGUCAAACACACACUCCAAGUCAGUCACUUGCCCACAAGGGCAAAACAGUCAUUUAACACCCUAGGGACAAAAUGGUAAUUUUACCCCACAAGGGUAUCUCGGUAAUUCUACCCUACAGGGGUAUUUCGGUAUUUCUACCCUACAAGGGUAUUUCGAUAAUUCUACCCUACAGGGGUAUUUUGGUAAUUCUAUCCUAUAAGGAUAUUUCAGUAAUUCUACCCUAUAGGGGUAUUUCAGAAACUCUACCCUACAGGGGUAUUUCAGUAAUUUCACAAUCAAGGGUAAAACGGUAAUUCUGUAAAUCGAGGGUAAAAUGAUAAUUUUGUAAACUGAGGGUAAACCAGUAAUUCUAUAAAUCAAGGGUAAAACAGUAAUUUUACAAAUCAAGGGUAAAACGAUAAUUUUGUAAACUGAGGGUAAAGCAGUAAUUCUGUAAAUCAAGGGUAAAACAGUAAUUUUACAAAUCGAGGGUAAAACGAUAAUUCUAUAAAUCGAGGGUAAAAUAGUAAUUCUGUAAACUGAGGGUAAAACAGUAAUUCUGUAAAUCGAGGGUAAAAUGGUAAUUCUAUAAACUGAGGGUAAAAUGGUAAUUCUGUAAACUGAGGGUAAAACGGUAAUUCUGUAAAUCGAAGGUAAAAUGGUAAUUUUACAAAUUGAGGGUAAAACGGUAAUUCUAUAAAUCGAGGGUAAAAUAGUAAUUCUAUAAACUGAGGGUAAAACGGUAAUUCUGUAAAUCGAGGGUAAAACGAUAAUUCUAUAAACUGAGGGUAAAACGGUAAUUCUGUAAAUCGAGGGUAAAACGGUAAUUCUAUAAACUGAGGGUAAAACGAUAAUUCUGUAAAUCGUGGGUAAAACGGUAAUUUUACAAAUUGAGGGUAAAACGGUAAUUUUACAAAUCGAGGGUAAAACGGUAAUUCUAUAAAUCGAGGGUAAAACAGUAAUUGGUAAACUAAAGUAUUCUAAACAUGGAUAACAAUACAAAUGGGCCUAAAGCCUAUUCUCGGCCCAAAUGGGCCCACACGCUCGUGUGGCCCUUGUAGCCCAAACCUAGCCACAGAUAUGAGAUUCACUUAGCCUAGUCCAAUAUUUACUACACAAUCAAACAACUUACCCAAUUGGGCCCGUAGGCCCAUUGGGCCUACAUGGCCCCUUUCGGCCCAUCGCGGCCGAAGUAGCCAUCCAACAACAAGAGUAGUGAUAAAUACACACCUGAUUGGAGACUGGAGUUAAUCCACGCUCCGAGCACUCUUAGCCGACGCCCAACCCAAACGAGCACGCCAUAAAGCGAAAGGGAUCAGCCAAGAAAGGUACCUUUACUCUCCUCAUGGUUCUCUUUAUUUAAAGCCAGCUUCCCAUCCACUCUUAUGUUAGCUUCCCGAUAUGGGAUCCCUCCAACAUCAGAGUUUAAAUUCAGCACCAACUCUUACCGCCCCCUGUUAGCAAAAUAAAUGCUCUUUGCUUGCUAUGGGAUUCGAACCCAUGCCUCCCCUCAAAUGCUCCACACGCUACUUGCCACUAAGCCAUAAGGUUUUUUGUGUCACAAUUUCUCCAACAAUAUUCUUAAGGCCUACCUACUACACCCAGGGUUUGAUUCACCUUAAACCAAAUUUUUUGCUAGAGUCCAGGUUUAAACCCAGGACUUCUCCAACACUUCUCAACACACUUAACCACUAAAACAAGCCUUCAUUAACGAAAUUUGCAUGCACAACAGAAUAUUAUAAGCUGCCUUCAACAGCUCCCAUGCUCAAGGCCCAAAACUUCUAGGCCCAAAUUCAGGGUGUUACAGCAAUAGCUUAUAGGCAACUCAAUUAGUUUCAUCAAUGUUUACAACAAAAUCACAGAUUCACUACAAGCUAUUUUCUUGAGCAACAAUCAUUAAAUUAUUUGUAACUGGAGCUACGAAACUCCAAAUGAAGUGUCGUAAUUUUUUCCCAAAAAUAGACUCAUAUAUCUUCUAUCCAUAAAAUGUUAAAUCAAAAAUACAUAUUAUAUAUAAAACAAUAUCAUGACCGGCCACUAUCCCAAAAAUGGGUAUUUUGACAUGCAAGUCCACAUUUUUGAAUACAUGCAUUAAUAGAUCACUUUAUAUUUACCUAACCUAUUUCACAAAUGUCUCACAUAAGCCCUUUGACUAAAAUUCACAUUCAACUAACAGAAUUUAAGCAUCAAAAUUUCACACAUGCACUAUCACACAUAGUAGAUAUGAAUUUUAAUAUUUAAUAAAUUUUAUAACUCGAUUUUGUGGUCUCGAAACCACAUCUCGAGUAGGGUCAAAUUAGGGAUGUCACAUAAGGUAUGUGUUUUAAUCGGUUUUUGAUAAUUUCUACGUUUUAGUAAUCGUUGCUUCGAAUACUAUAAAGCCCAUGUCUCAAUUUCUGAUUUUGUUUAUGAUUUUGAAAUUUACCAUUGAUGAAAUUAUGAGCUUUGUGAUGUUAGUUGUUGGAAAAUAAAAGAUAUAUGUUGGGUUGAUAUGUUUUGUCUUUGAAUUUUUGGUGAUUUUGAGUAAAAUGGGCUAAAUUAUGAAAUUUGUAAAUUGAAGGACUAAAAUGUGAAAUAAAUGAAAUGUGUGGACUAGUAUGAGUACUAGGAGAAUUCGGCCAAGCAUGAGUAUAUGCAAAUUAUGUGUAUUUUGUGAUUUUGUGAAUUAGGGACUAAAGUGUCAAAAUGUGAAAAUGUGAGGGCUAAAUUGUAAAAUGCUCUAAAUGAAUGUUUAUGGAUUGAUUUGAAUUAUUUGGUGAAUAAAAGGGUAAACUUUUAAUACAUAUAGAUCAAGAAAAGAGGAAUUCAGAUUUAGACCGAGAGAAGUCGAAGGUUAUAGAGUAUACAAUCCGAGUCAGCAAUUCUGAAUACGAGGUAAGUUCGUACAUGAUACAUGAUGCUAAAAGUAUAUUUUUGAUGCUUUGAUUAUACAUAAAUUGUGUAUAUAUUUGAUUAUGGUUGAAUACGAUGAUAAAUCAACUGCAUUUGGCACUAAGUGUGCGAUUCAAAAUAGCUUCGGCUAUAAACAGCACUAAGUUUGCAAUUCAAAAUAGCUUCGGCUAUAAAUAGCACUAAGUGUGCAAAAUGGUAUAGCUUUGGUUGUAUGAGGCACUAAGUGUGCGAUACCGAGAUAGCUUCGGUUAAUUGAGAUGGCACUAAGUGUGCAGAAUCGUUCUAGCUUCGGCUAAACCUUGAAGCACUAAGUGUGUGGAUGCUUAAAGUAUGAAUAAUCUUCGGAAAGUUUUAAAAUAUCUGGACGAGAGAUGAGAAUGAAAAUGAAUAAAUACGGGAAGGUUCAGGUAUGUACAAUACUUAUGUGGUAGAUGAUAUUAUGUAUAUGAAGUUCGUGGAUUGGUAUAAACAUAUGAAUUGUGUUGGCAUAGAAUUGAUAGAUGAAUUGAGAACUAAUAAGUGUUUAUGCGUUGAUGUUUUAUAUUUUAUAAGCUGUUGAAUAUAUUUAGUACAAGCUUACUAAGCUUUUAAAAGUUUACUUUGUGUGUGUUUGCAUUGUUUUAUAGAUAUUGAAGCUACUGUGAGCUCGGGGAUCGUCGAGGAUCUUCACCACACUAUCGAAUCUCAUUUUGAUACCUUUUGAAAUUGUAUAUAGUAAAGUAUGACAUGUAUAGGCUAAAAGUACUUUGGAUAAGUUUUGUUGUAAUGACCUGAAAUUCACGGGCACCGGAAAAGUGAGUUAUAGGGCCUCCGUCUUAGUGAAAUAAGUUCGAAAAUAAUUAUUAAAAAUAUUUAUGAGCCUAGUGGUGUGUCUAAUUAGGAUCUAAUUAAGUGAAUUUAGCUUAAUUUAGAGUAAGUAAUAAAAAGGAUUAAAUUGAAUAAAGGGUAAAAGUUUAAUUAUAAAGCAAUAGAAAAUAAAAAGGAUUAAAAUGGCAAUUAAGCCAUUGACUACAAAUGAGGUGGCAUAUUGGUGAAAUAAAAUCAAAGAUUUUUUUUAGGUCUUAUAUAUUAUAAUGAUUAUUAUUAUGGUUUUAUAUUAAAUUGUUAUGAUUAUUUAAUUGAUAAUAUAUUAUAAAUAAAUUAAAUAGAAGACAAUUGUAUGGUAAUAAAAUAUACAUGUGUAAGAAUUGUAUGGGUACAUUUGUAAUUUAAAUAUUUAAUUACUUAUAAUUUAAGUAUAAAGAUAUUUGUUAAUUAAAUAAUUAAAUUAUAAGAUUUUUGGUAUGAAAAACAAAUUAAAUAAUGACAUUUGUAAUAAUAUGAAUAUAUACAUUUGUAUUAUAAUUAUGUAUUUACUUAAAUUUUAAGUUAAAAUAUUUAUUAAUUAAAUAUUAAUAUUAUAAGAUUUUUAUUUGUUAAAUAAAUAAAAGAAAGACAAAUGGAUGGUAAUAAUAGUAUACAAAUGUACAAAGAUACAUGUAUACAAAUGUGUUAAUUAUAUUGUUAUUAAAUUAACAAUAAUAUAUAUUAGUUAAAUGAUAAAAUAAAUAAGUAAAAUAAAUGAAAUAAUAAAAGAAUAAAAAGAAAAACAAAAGAAACAAAGAAGAAACAGAACAGAAGCAUUUCGAAACAGGGAAAGAAAAAGAAAGAAAGAAAAGGGAAAGGAAAAACUAGGGUUUUAAGGUUUGAAGCUUUAAAAGGUAAGUCAAUUAAGUCCUUUUCUCUUAAUUUUGAUGUUUUAGGAGUUUUGAAACAAGAUUUUGAUGAAAUUAAGUUGAUAGUUCAAGAGUUCAUAUGUUUCCAAGUAGGGUUCAUGUUGGAAAAACUAUGGAAUUAGGGAUUUAAUUGAAUGAAUUCUAAGUUAGAAUUGAUUAAGGGAUUAAAUUGUAAACUAGGCUAUAAGUUUUAUGUUGUAGGGACUAAAUUGAAGAAAUUUCGAAAUUAGGGAAAUAUGCUGGAAAUUUUAUAGUUAAAUAUAAGUUUAGACAAAAUUUGAAUAGAAAAAGAGAGUGAAUUGGAUUAAGAAAAUAAUUAAGUUUAGUUAGGAUUAAAUUGGGAAUAAGGUAGGAGUUGUUUAGAAAUUUAAUUAUUUAUUAUAAUUAGUGCUGUAAAUAAUAAUGUAAAUUACUAUUAUUUUCGUAGCCAACAAAGAACCUGAAGCAUCAGCAUCGAAAGGAAAGGAGAAAGUCAUCGAGGACUAAAACGGGAGAAUUACGGUGUGUAUUACUAUAAUUCAAAUUUUAAUUAUUAUUGAUUGCUGAAAUUUUAAUUGUUAUGUAUGGUAAGUAAGGCUUGAGGUAAGUAUGUGAUUAUUUGAAAAGUGUAUUGAUUGAAAAAUAAAUAAAUGGUGACAAUUGUAUGGUGUUGAUGGUAUACACUUGUGUGAAAAUUAAUUUGUAUAUGAAUUAAGAUAAUAGAUAUUUGAAUUGAAUGAGUAUUGAAAAUUUUUGUGUAAAUUAAAUUGAAAUUAGAAAAAGUAAAAUAAUACCCUAUUAACUUGUCGGACUAGAUUCGUUACAAAUGGCAUGCCAUUGGAUUUGUGAUGUGAUGAAGAGAUUGUAGUUCGGCCGAGAAGAUGUUUCUGUUAUUAUAUACUUCGGUUUAUCCGAAUAGGCAUUUAAUGCCUUAUUGGUGUGUUUGGGAGGACAUAUUAUACCGGUGUGUUAUGGAGGAUUUACAAUAUUCCGGGUGUGUUUGGGUUGGAUAUUCUGGUGUGUUUGGAUGGAAUCCACGUAUCUGUCAUAGUCCGAGCUUUGUUAAUAGGGUAAAUAAUUGAAAUGAAAUUUUGAAAAUGAGAUUAUUUGUUUUAGCACUAUUGAAAAGUACGAGAAAGAAUGUAUGAACUAAAUUAUGAAUUGAGUUAGUAUGAAAAAAAUGAAUUAUGAAUUUAAGAUUUAUGAAGUAAAAUUAUUGUAUAUAAAAGUAGUUUAAAUAAUUAUAAAAUUUAUGGUUGAUGUUUGUAAUUUAUUAAUGUUAAAUAGUCUUGAUUUAUAGUAAUACCACUGAGUAUAUCCAUACUCAGCGUACGGUUGUUUCCGUGCGCAGGUUAGUAGAAGUCAAGUGUCCCGGCUCAACAUCCAGAACAAUCCCGACUCCAACACAAACUUGGUGAUAUAUAUUUUUCUUUUGGGUAAAGGUGGCAUGUACAUAGGUGUUAUUUAGUCACUUGAAUAUGUAUAUUACUUUGGGUAGUGAAAGAUGAAUUAUAAAAUUUAGAUGGUUAAAUGAAAUGGUAAGGAAAGUACAUGAUAUUUUGAUACAUGAACAUUAAGUUGUUAAAUGAAUGAAGUUUUUAAUCAAUUUUGAAUGAUGCUAUGAUAGUUAUUAAAUUAAAAUUUUGUUAAUAAUAUAAAUAUUAGUAUAUGAAUGUGAAAUAUUGGUGUUGGUUGUUUUGGUUUGAAUUUGCAGGAGGUUUAGGUAAAAAUAAGCAGAAAUGCUGCCGAAAUUUUUAUAAAAAAAAAAUUGGAAUACUCGAACAAGUCCCGUUCUACUUUUAAUACGUGUUUGAACUUCGAGAGUUCAAGAUAGGGACUUAAUUAUUAUAUUAUACUAUGAAAUUUAUAUUAAUUGUAAAUUAUUCGUAAGUUGUCUGAUAUGUCCGGUAAUGCCUCAUAACCUCGUUCCAGCGACGGUUUGGGGUUAGGGGGUGUUACAUUUGUAAUGUUUAUAUUUAGACAUGUGAUAUGGCUUGCUAUGGUUGUGUUUAUGUUUUUUAUUUUGGUAUAUGAAAUGUGAUACAAGAUGAUCUAUUUGAUGUGUUCAUAAAUAGCUAAGAGAAAUUGUAAGAAUGGCAAGUUUUGGUAUGAGAUUUGGUCAUGAUUUUAGAGAUUAUGAAACCAUAUGUUUGACAUGAUUUGGUCUUAUGUUUUGGCACAAUUGAGUUGAGUUUAUGAGCAUGUAAAUGGUUGAUAAUAUUAUAGCAUGAAUGAUGUAUAGUUUGGUAUAGAAAUUGGCUGAAGUUGUUGUGUAUAUAUGCUUCGUUUGGUGCUUGUAGGUUUGACCCAAAAUGGGGUGGCAAGUUGGCUAUUCAAAUGGCCUACUUUUGUCCACAUGGGCAGAGACACAAGCGUGUGUCUCAGUCAUAUGUGACAUACGGUCACAUUACACGGCGCUGUGUCCCUUGGGGUACCUUACGAAUUAAAGUCAGUAUACCCUCCAAUUUUGGCACAGCCUAGACACACGGGCAUAUCUAUUGGUCGUGUGUGUCACACGGGCUGGCACACGGGCGUGUGGUCGGCCGUGUAGCCAAGUCAGUAGCCUCCCUAAUUUUCACAUGACCUAGCACACGAGCGUGUCUUGUGGUCGUGUAGACAAGUCAGUAUGUAUGCUCUGUUUCGCCAUGGCUUAGACACACGGGCGUGUCUAAUGCUGUGUGAGGCACACGGCCUGUUCACACGAGCGUGUGACCCUUGAAAAGUUAAAAAAAUUUAUAAGUUUUGAAACUUUCAUAUGUUAUCAAUUUGGUCCCGCAUGCAUGAUUUAGACUUUGAAUGCUCGUAUUAAAUUCAUAUUGAAUAAGAAUGACUUAUAUUUAUUGAAAUGAGAUGAUAUUUGAUAUAUGAUUGUUCUGAAUUGAGUUACAAGUCUGGUAACGUCUCUUAACCUAUUCCGACGAUGGUUCGAGUUAGGGGUGUUACAAAUACCAUAAGGUAUUUAAAUCUUGAUCCUUUCAUUUUCACAAUUCAAAGCAAUCUUAUACAUUAAAACAUAAUUACAUACACAAGAAAACUAUCAAAUAUUCUUACUAAUUCAAUUGUAACACAUAAUAACAUAAAAUAUGAACUUACCUUGAUAAAACAGUUGUAAAAAUGAGGCCGAUAGUUAAUCCACCACUUUAGCUUUUCCUUGAUCUAAGUUUGGUUGAUUAGUACCUUGAUCUAAAUAUGAAAUUCAUUCAAUUAAGUAUUUAAAAUAGCUUAAACCAAUCAUUUCCAACUUAUAACUCCUUUUACGAUUAAUUAUAAUUUCACCCCUAACAUUUUAACUUUUAUAUAAUUUAAUCCUAAGGCCAUAACUUGCAAAUUCACUAUUUCUUAUGCACUAUAUGCUAACCGAUUUUUCCUCCUACCUAUAUCAACUCAUAUUUGUCCUCAAUUCGUAAAAAUAUACAUGAAAUUUAUCAUUUUAACAAAUCAAUCCUAAACCUUAAAUUUACUAAAAUUUAAUUAACAAAACAUGUUCAUUUAACAACCAAAUUUAAGAAUAUAUCAUUUAACAUUAAAACAUACCCAAACUCUAUCAUUGCAAAUCCUUCAACCUUUAAUAAUUUUUGCAAAUUAACUCCUAGGCCACAUAGUUUAACUGAAAACGAGCUAGAAACCAUAAAAAUCAUUAAAAACAAGGCUCAAAUACAUACCAUGCAUGAGGAAAAUUCAAAACUGAAGCUUUCUCCCCUCAUUCAAUGGCUAUUCUAUUUUGUCUAAGCCAAAAUAGGGAAGAUGAUAACCAAAUUUUCACUUUUAUUUCGUUAACAUAACAUUAAUUAUUAAAUUACUAAACUAACCUUUAAAAACUAUCAAAAUCACACAAAAACCUUUCCAUUAGAAUCCACUAUAUUAAUAUAUGUUUUAAUUACCAUCUAAAUCCACUAGAUUAAAAUUUCAUAGCUAUUUAACCCUUUUAGCUAAUAGAUUUCAACUUUUGCAUCACUUAUAAUUUAGCCCUUUUUACUUAACUAACUAUUUAAACAUUAAAAUUUCUUAACAAAAAUUUAAUACGACCUUAAAAUAAUCCUAUAAACAUUAAAAUAUUACUCACUUGUCGGAAUCGUGGUCCUGAAAUCAUUAUUUUCGAUACCACUAAAAACGAGUUGUUAUUUGCAUGAUUAACACAUCAUUAUCACUGUCAUUUGGCAUGUAUAUCAUGCCCACAACACAACACAAUUCACAAUAUCCAUCAUAUACAUCUCAUAUUACAAUAUCACAUCAUAAUAAUCAAUCCACAAUUAUUCAAAUAAUCACAUAAUUUUCCAAAAUAAAAUAAGGGAAAUAGAAAGCUUACACUCGGAACUUAGGAUAGAGGUUUAGGCUAAUCAUAAGCUUCCAGUUAAUACUAUGAAUCGUGUCUACUAGCUGCGAUUCCGAACACUCACCAUUCAUGCUUUCACCUUGUAACACCCCAAACCCAUAUCCGUCGUCGGAGUAGGGUUACGGAGUAUUACCAACCAAUCGAAACAAUUAACAAUCAAUUCAUGAAUAAUCAUAAGCGUAUAUUAAAUCAUCAACAAAAAUGCGAAUUGUCCCUAAAUCGAGCUUUAAAGGUCUUAAAAUUUCCUUAGAAACAUUUCAGGACUAAAUAGAAAUCAUUUGAGAAGUUAAAGAAAAAGUUGCAAAAUUUUGACUAUAGGGGUCACAAAGCCGGGCCGCAGCCCGUGUUCAUACCCGUGUAACUCACUGACUUAGUUCACAUGACCAAGCCACACACUUGUGUGCCAGGCUGUGUGACACUUGAAAUGGCCUCACACGCCCAUGUGUCAGGCCAUGUGCUAGGCCAUGUAAGUGCCUGACUAGCAUGCAAAGGAACCUGCAGGAGACACACGGCCGUGUCGCCAGGCCGUGCAUCACACGCUGAUGAGACACACACCCGUGUCUCAGGCCGUGUAGACAAAUUUUUACCUAAAACAAGCAUUUUCCAAAACCAAAACAAGCAUGAUUACUCUACCCAUCUAAGCACAUCUAAAAAGGGUCUUAAGGAACAACAAAAAAUAGUCAAACAUGCUCAAGCAAGCAUCUUAAGUGCCUAACCAAUGUGCCCUUAUUGACACGACAUAUAAUUCUGUCAUCAACAACCAAUAUACCAUCCAUAGGUAUCUCAAUCAAACUCAAAUAUACAAAUCAUUGAAUUUGAUAAAUGCACAACCUACAUAUAUCAUUCUCAUUCAACUCACAACCCAAGUGACACAAAGAAUAGCUUUACUUUAUCUACCAAACAAACAACCUAGGUAAAUCACCAAAAUGACCAAAUCAUUUAAGCAAACAUUAUUUUCAAGUAUUGCAUAUUUAAGUAUUGCAUAAAACUUCAAACAUGUAUUUACAAUCAUUUACACUUAAAAAUUCAUAUUCCCUAGAACUUACUAAACAAAAGUGACACUAUCACUAAAUUUGCAUCCUAGGUACAUGCCAAAAACACAAAAUAAAACAUCACCAACAUUGAGUACGGGAUUCUUCAAGGAUACUGAGUCCUGUUCUACUAUUUAUCUAACCUGCAAACAUGUAAAUCAAUUUACAAUUAAUAGGUUUCAUUUAUUAGCUAACCACAAGAACAAUCAAUAAUAAUAUGAAAUUAUAAAUUAACUAAAUAAAAAAUUCAGUUCUUUUGAUAAUUUAAGUAACCUUGUUGUAUGAUCUAUUAGCUACGUGGCACCCGGUGCCUAGCGAGUAAAUCACAGAGGAGAUUGCGCUCAGAGCUAGUGGGAUUAACCGACAGUAUUGAAUGUGAGCCCAGCUCUAGUUGGAUGAACCGACAAUGUUUGCUCCCAGCGCUAGUCGGAUAUACCGACAAUAAUAAAUGUGAGCCCAGCUUUAGUUGAAUGAACCAACAGUGUUUGCACCCAAUGUUAAUCGGAUAGACCAAGGAUUGUGUGCCCAGCACUAGUCAAAGAUAGCAAAUAAAAUAACCAACUUGUUUUUCGGCAGUAACAAAGAAGAAGAAAAACAUUCUCCCCCUCUCCAUUCAUUUUCUUUUCUUUAUUAUUUUCUUUCCUAUUAACAUUAAUAUUUUUUUUGUUUUAUUAAUUUCCCUACAUAUUAUAAUUAUCCUAUUAUAAUUAUUAAUAAUAUAACCUAUAUAUAUUAUUCUCAUACUCAUCCCAUUUUAAGUAAUGGUUUUAUUUAAUUGCUAAGUCCUUUGAUAUUUAUCUUCUUUAUAAAUUUAGUAUUUUUUCCCACUUUUAUCACCUAUUGAUUUAGUCCCUUUUAAAUAAAAUAAAAAAAUUAUUUAAUUAAUACUCAAUUCACUUUUAAAGUAACUCCCCAAAAAUAUAAUAAUAAUAUUUUUUAGCCCAAUUCGCGCAGGCAGUGUCCCGGAAGUAUGUUUCUCAAUACCCCUAACUUACGGGAUAUUACACACCUAGUCACGGAAAGCUCAAACUAGUUUUUACUUUCCUUUUACCUUGCUCGUCAAAGGCUCCAACACUUCUGUAUCUUCACCAAAGUUAACCACACAAUAACCAUGAUUAAAAUUAAGCUAACAACCAUAACGCAGGCCUAAAUUAGUUCCUCUUAGAAUUGAAACCUUCGACAUAAUAAACUUGAAACUCAAUUAUCUCAAUCUCCACUUAUCCUCUUUGCCUAAAACUAAUUCCAUUCAUCUAAUUAUUCAUCUAAGAUUAAUUCUUAACCUUCAAAUUACACAAAAUUACCCAAUUCGUGGUUACAAAAUUUCAACAUAAAAUAGAUAUUUUUCAUGAAAACUCAAUAAAACCAUAAAAUCGCUUCAUGAAACUUUAUGGAAAGUAUAGGAACCUUCUAAUCAUGUCAAAAUAAGUUUAAAAAACACUUUGAAAUAUUAUUUUUAUGCAAAAUCCCGAAUUUCACCAUUAAUGACUUAAUUUUCCGCUUUUAUUCAAAUAUUUCGAUUUAAUGGAUAAAAAAUCAAUUUAAAAGACUAAAUAACAUCAAAAACUAAUAGGGAAAUGAUUUUUAAAACUUUGGCAGAAUUGCUUUAUAACUACUCCUAUUUUUCACCCUGUUAUAAAAUAGUCCUUAUUCAAAAUUAAAGGUUUUUUGAAACUCAUUUUGGAAAAUUGAUUUAAUUUUCUAAAAGCUAUAGACGAAGACAUUUCCGGUUUACCAUCCUACAAAAUUUUGAGCAUAAAUGAGCUAAAAUUCUCAUUUUUCCCUCAAAAUUCUUAGGCCCAAUUUUGAGGUGUGACAUGGAUGCCUUCGUGGCUAUCCAUUGAUCAAGCGUAUGUCUGUAGACAAGGGAAAACAUCUGAAGUAAAGAAAACACCUUAGUGGUGCAAUUUGUGGAAUAACCUCGAGACAAAGAUUCAAUGGCACCACCAAAGUGGCGAACUCUAAAAAGAAGCAUAACUAUCCAGUUUGAAACAACUAAAGAAUGGUGAGAAAUGCAUGAUGAUGAGAAGCAGACAAAAUCUGCCUUGACCAUCAGUAGGAAGGUGAAAUGGAAAGUGAGUUGCCAGUACCAACCCGUAAGUAAGUCGUAUGAUAUCGACAGAGGUAAGAAUGUUUACAGAAUAUGAAUGAGUACAAGAUAUGAAGAGAUUUAAUACAUGUUUUGCUGAGUUAGAUGAAUAUUUGUCUGAUUCCAUAAAGUAAAGUGCAAUGUUUACACUCUAUAUGAAAUGAUGAAUAAAUGUAUGAUAAUACCUCAUUAAGUUCUCAUGAACUUAUUUGAUUGCCUCUGAUUGUAGGAGUUGUUAGAAAGGAGGGUGGCGAGAGACAAUGCCAAGGCUACGCCAUAGGAGCGGCAGUCUGUGCUGAUAUGCAUGCAGAGAAGACAAAGAUCGUGGCGAAGUUACAAUCUGUGCCAAGAAAAAACUAAGAGAGUCAUACGAUUAGUUAGAAGUAUUGACAACACACGCGUUUACACGAGAAGCCUUAUGGUGAAGUUUAAGUUUACGCAUAAGAUGUAAUACCUUGUAUAGUGAUAGAAGAAAGGCGAAAACAAUAGUCAUAUUACUUUGAUUGUAAAUGUAAUAUUAGACUGUACUAGAAGUUAUACACAAUAAGUAAAACGAGGUAUUUCAGCUAAAAAGACUUAGAAAUUUUAUUAGUUGAAUAGUUACAUAGGAAAGCAAAGUAGGAGUCUAAGUACGUCGAUCCUUAGGCGUAACACUCAGAACUCAGAUUCAGUUGAUCGGGUCAAGUGGAGGGCGUUACAUUAGGCGUUAGAAGUAGCUAUACAAUUAUUUUUCUUUCACGAUUUCAUUUUUUUGGUUAAAAUACUAAUAAAAUUCUUAAAAAUAUUUUUUUUUAUUAAAAUAAGCACCUAUUGUACCCAAUAAGUUAUUAUCAUUUAAUUUGUGUUCAAAUAAUUCUAUUUCAAAUUUAAUGUGAUUAAUAUUAAAGAUUCUUUUUAGUCAACGUUUGGAAACUAGAAUUUUAGAAUUUUAGAUAUCAAAAAUAGUAUAAAUUGAGUAGUAACCUAUUUAGAAAUGUAACAAUUGUAAUUUCUUGAAUUCAUGGAUGUGUUAGAUACUUAUUUAGUAAUGAAUUUGAAGUUCUUAAAAUAUUUUUAGAUUUGACAAAUUCAUGCUUCUAUGCAUUUUUUAGCAUAUAUUAUAUUAAAUUUCAACUAAUUUAUCUAUAAUAUACGAAUUUAUUCUUAUCAUUUAUAUAAUAAAUGAAAUUCAAAUACAAAUUUUCAAAUUUAUAUUCUUAAAUGAAGCGAUAGGUCUUUUUUAAUUAAAAGUAUUUUUUUCGAGUAUAAAUUAAAGUUAAAGCUUUUAUAUAUAUAUAUUAGAGGCUAAGGGUUUUUUUUUUUCGUUUUGAUAAAUGGUUUAUUUGGAAGCAAUAAAAAGUAGAAGGAUCUUUCUAAACAUUUUUUUCUUUAAGCAAGGAAUAUGGAGGAUGAAAUUGAAAAUGUGAAAAAUAGAGAUUUGUAAUCUACUAGUUUAGGGAAAAAUAAACAAAAAGAUUAAGGAAAAUGGAGAUCUUUUUCUCUCAUAUUUUUGUUUAUUAGCAAUUAACUUCAUCAAAUAAACUUUAAAAUCUUAGGAAAAAUUACAACAAUUAGACCAUAUAUAAUUAAUUGAUCACACAGUUAAAUAAAUUUUAUUAACAAAAUUAAUAAAAUUCAAAUAUAAUAAUAUUAACAAUUUAUUUUUAUUAAAUUAGCCUUACAGCUUAAAUUAAAUAUUGAAAAGUUAACACUGUUACUUUUGGAUACCAAAAUAUAAAAUUUUUGUCAAAUAUAAAUAUCACGUAUACCGUAUAAAAAAAUAUCAAAUUUAAGUACCAAAUGAUGUAAUAAGCCUAUGAAAUUUUAAACCUUAAAAUUUGAGAAAAAUCACAACAAUUAGACUAUAUUGAACUAAUAAUCACACAGUUAAACAAAUUCUAUUAGCAAAAUUAUGAAAAUUCAAAUAUAAUACUAGUAGCAAUUAAUUUUUAUCAAAUUAGUCUUAAAGCUCAAAUUAAAUGUUGAAAAAUUAACACUUUUGAGUAUCAGAAUGUAAAACUUCUGCUAGAUAUAAAUAUCACGUAUACCGGACAAAAAAAAUAUCAAACUUGAGUAUCAAGUGUAUUAAGUGUAUGAAAUUUUAGAGUCCAUUUAAUGUUCAAGGAAUUAGUUUUUAAAAAAAAAAAACAAAAUAAUGACAACGAUACUUUAAUAGAAUAUGCUUUUAAAUAAUUUUAUAUUUUGUUAAUCAUACAAUAAAAUAUCACUUUUUCAAGCAAACUAUCUAAAUAGAGUACUAUGUUUAAGUAAUUUUAGUUAUCUUACCUCUAUCCAAGAAAAAUACAACUUGCAUAUCAUUUUUCAUAUAUUGAAAACAGAUUUUUGAAAUUAGUACCAAGUACUAUUUUUUUCGUAUGAACCCAGUUAAAGGUUCGAUAAAUAAAGAUGUAAUAUCUCGUGUGAGAAAAAAAUUGGCCAACAUUUCUAUGAACAAAUAGAAAGUUGUUCAAGUUACCUACUAUCGCGGUUCGUAAUCUACAAAUCAUUUUAACUUUCACAGAAUCAGAAAAGAAAUGGCACUUGCGAUUGUAGCAUAGAACAUCAUUAUCAGUUGAAAAUUUUGCAACUAAAUCAGUGGGUUGAUGUGAGUACAUCUACUUUGAUGCAAAAGAAGUAAAGUGUACAAUCCUAAGGUUCGAUGUGUCAAGCAAGCACUUGAGUUGAUAAAAUCUGGAAUUCUGUUUAAUAUAAAGGAACAUGAUUCAGCAUAAAACAUGAAAACGCCAUAAUGAGUCCAGCUAUUGAAUAAAUGGCAAAACACAAAAUCCAAUAAUCAAGUUCAACCCCAAGUAAAUAACUUUGACAAAAUUAGGUUAAGAUUUACUGCUAAGAAAUACAACUAACCACGAACACCCCGAUUGAGACUAACCAUGCGAGCUGAAGCAUCCAUCUGGGAACCUCUCAUUCCUGAACCGGCUCUCCCAGAGUAUCCUCGUGAUUGACCUGACCGAUCCCUUGAAGCCUGUCCUAAUGCCAAUGGUCUGCCACCGCCAGUAUACGCGGCACGUCCAGAACUACCUUGCCUACCCUGACCGUAGGACAAAUCUGGCCACCUACCGCCGCCGCCGCCAGCUGUCCCAGCAGCAUAUUCCUGGUUAUCUCGCCGCCUUAGUGGCAGAUCCAAUCCACCACCACCGGUUCUAGCCUCGACUGCCCUCUCAUUACUCUCAGCAAGUAUUGAAAGCUUUUCUGUCAACUGGAAUGCCAAGGCCUGCAACCUUGAGUACUCAACAUCAUGGAAGAUGAUGCAUCGUGUUGGCUGGUCCCAGCUUGCAUGGAGUUCUUCAUUUACCAACAUCUUGCUAACAAUGCUAUGAAUCUGGGCAUCUGAGAGGUCAAACAUUCUGGUCAGCUGGUCCAGGCCUAGUGUAUCAUAGGAAGAACAGUAGGUAAAAAGGUAAGUCCUCAGAGCCUCUUCCUUGAUCUUAGCUUUCAGCAUUUCAAGCACACUCUCUCUAUUCCUAAGGAGCUUCCAAACAUCAAGAGAAUUAAUGAUGUCGAAGGCCUUCUGGAAAUCUCCCUUGCAGAGGGCCCGGGUUGCAGCCAUUACAUGGUCUCGCACAUUUUCUGGGGGACCUGUA
RNAcentral lists this long non-coding RNA (37545 nucleotides) under Gossypium barbadense (sea-island cotton). RNAcentral's name for it is "long non-coding RNA (GBAR_LNC008449)". Lineage: Eukaryota; Viridiplantae; Streptophyta; Magnoliopsida; Malvales; Malvaceae. The record is from RNAcentral.